This 217-nucleotide unclassified non-coding RNA is filed under the name Hevea brasiliensis (rubber tree). The record is from RNAcentral. Lineage: Eukaryota; Viridiplantae; Streptophyta; Magnoliopsida; Malpighiales; Euphorbiaceae.
GAACAAGAAAGAGCGACAGCGCUCUAAGUCGUCUUAUGACCCAUCUGAUAUUGUUGGGACAUCUUCAGAGGAUGGAUAUAUUGGUGUGUCAAAGAAGAGUCAUUUCUUUGGAAAGUAUUCUGCUGGUUCCAAUGACAGUGAUGGUGGCAGGAAGUGGAGUUCUACUCAAGAAUCAGUCCUGAUCACUGGAAGUAUUGGCCAAGCAGCUUCUGAUGAA